CUACGGGCGGCAGCAGUGGGGAAUAUUGCACAAUGGGCGCAAGCCUGAUGCAGCAACGCCGCGUGAACGAAGAAGGUCUUCGGAUCGUAAAGUUCUUUUCUUAGGGAAGAAAAAUGACGGUACCUAAGGAAUAAGCACCGGCUAAAUACGGUGCCAGCAGCCGCGGUAAUACGUAUGGUGCAAGCGUUAUCCGGAAUCACUGGGCGUAAAGGGAGCGUAGGCGGUUUUACAAGUCAGAAGUGAAAGGCUACGGCUCAGCCGUGGUAAGCUUUUGAAACUGCAAGACUAGAGUGCAGGAGAGGCAAGUGGAAUUCCUAGUGUAGAGGUGAAAUUCGUAGAUAUUAGGAGGAACACCAGUGGCGAAGGCGACUUGCUGGACUGUAACUGACGCUGAGGCUCGAAAGCGUGGGGAGCGAACAGGAUUAGAUACCCGAGUAGUC
This 440-nucleotide ribosomal RNA is filed under the name uncultured bacterium. RNAcentral describes it as "partial 16S ribosomal RNA". It matches the Rfam family "Bacterial small subunit ribosomal RNA", at positions 339 to 795 of the family's 1533-position model. The record is from RNAcentral.